RNAcentral lists this ribosomal RNA (253 nucleotides) under uncultured bacterium. RNAcentral describes it as "partial 16S ribosomal RNA". It matches the Rfam family "Bacterial small subunit ribosomal RNA", at positions 524 to 776 of the family's 1533-position model. The record is from RNAcentral.
UACGUAGGGACCGAGCGUUGUCCGGAUUCAUUGGGCGUAAAGAGCUCGUAGGCGGCUGCUCAAGUCGAAUGUGAAAACUCGAGGCUCAACCUCGAGCCUGCAUUCGAUACUGGGCGGCUAGAGUCUGGUAGGGGGAUCUGGAAUUCCUGGUGUAGCGGUGGAAUGCGCAGAUAUCAGGAGGAACACCGGUGGCGAAGGCGGGAUCCUGGGCCAGUACUGACGCUGAGGAGCGAACGCGUGGGGAGCAAACAGG